RNAcentral lists this long non-coding RNA (2522 nucleotides) under Nicotiana tabacum (common tobacco). Its description in RNAcentral is "long non-coding RNA (NTAB_LNC011420)". Lineage: Eukaryota; Viridiplantae; Streptophyta; Magnoliopsida; Solanales; Solanaceae. The record is from RNAcentral.
AGAUUUGGGGCAACAACCCUGCUACUUGUAAUCAUAAAAAUUGAACCAGAAGAGAGGAAACUGAAACAAAUAAAUUUAUGCAAACCUUUUUUUUCCUGUGGCAAAACUCUAGCUCUUGAAUCCAAUAUCAAUGAUCUCAAUUAGCUAGCAUAUAAGUAAGUGGCAAGAAUGAAGAAAUUGGAAGAUAUCAAUCGUUCUUUUUCUUCUUCUUCAACGAACAAGUAUUCAAGAAUGACUUACAACAACAAAAACUGGAGCAUCGGUAAAUAUCAAAAAGUAUUAUAGCCAUAUAGCUCUUCUUAAUUUUCAUUCGUGUUCCACAUGAAUAUGACAUAUUAUAACACUAGUCUUUUCAUUUGCUUUCAGCUUUAGAUCGAGCUAAACCUUAUUAGAUCGAGAAAUUGCAAAUUCCAGUUCCUGGUUUGAGUUUGAGCUCGACAUUUUUGUCUAAUGUAUAAUUUCCUCACCUUUCACAAAUACAAAUACAAAUACAAGUUAACUCUGAAAAAUUAAGAAGGCUUGUAGCAUAAGAGGUUUCUGCAUAUGUAACAAUUGAAUCAGGAAACAAUAGAUAUUAGAAUGAUAUACAUAGAGUAUACAGAAGUACAAAACAAUCCUUUUAAGCUUCAAGUCUACCAAACAAUUAGCGUAUUCCCUGAACAAACCAACAACAACUAGAAACCAAGGAAAGCAUGUUCUCCUUCAAAGAAGUUUAAAAGUUUAGAAUGAUUUUCAGUCAUAGGUUGAAGGAUGAAGAAGAACAUGACACAAUUUGCAAGAUUAUAUAUAUUUUGUAAAUAAACUCUAGCUAAUUUUUGAAAUUCCAAAAAUCAAUCUAAAAACGGAUAAAUAUUAUCCGAUUUUUGUACAUGUAGGAAAAUAUCCCUUAGUUUUAUCCUUUUCACCCUUCAAAAACAAACAAAAAUAAUUGUUCUCGUCUAAAAAUAUGUCAAAACUAAGAUAACAACAACAAACAAUGAUAACAAGAUAAUUGUUCGAUUUUUGUACAUGUAGAAAAAUAUCCCUUAGUUUUAUCCUUUUCACCCUUCAAAAACAAACAAAAAUAAUUGUUCUGGUCUAAAAAUAUGUCAAAACUAAGAUAACAACAACAAACAAUGAUAACAAGAUAAUUGUUCGAUUUUUGUACAUGUAGGAAAAUAUCCCUUAGUUUUAUCCUUUUCACCCUUCAAAAACAAACAAAAAUAAUUGUUCUGGUCUGAAAAUAUGUCAAAACUAAGAUAACAACAACUACAAACAAUGACAAAUUCAGUGUAAUCUCAUAAGUGGGGUUUGGAGGUAGUAUGUACAUAUACCUUACCGUUACCAUGUGAAGGUAGAAGGGCUGAUUCUGGUAGAUCAUUGACUCAGUAAAAACAUAGGAAACGUUGUUAAAAAUGUAAAAUCCAAGAUAAGAUUGAAAAACUAAGUAAAUUCAAGAAGAUAAAAAAUAAGAAAGAAACACGUACAUUCACCCCUCUUUGUGCUGAGAAGAGAGAAAGGAAAAAAAAUAAAAAAUGGAAAUGGAGGAAGGAGGGAGAAAAAGAACAAAGGGAAGUGAAGGGAAACUAAAUUGUCAAUUUAGUAAGGUUUGUUAGUUUCAUCAGUAAAAUUACCUGUUAAUUAGUUCCACAAAUAAUAAAAACAUAAAUUCAAGAACAUACUAAGCACUCGAAUCAUUAAGGGUAAAAUUCCUAAACUUUGAGAAAAUUUAAAUAUUGUAACCUCAUUCGUUUAGCACAAUCAAAAUUGCAAUCAGCUCACUUUCCUUCUCUGAUACUCAGACAAGAAAUUCAAUUAAAGUGGGUUGAAUUAUCUACAAAAAGAAUUCAUAAAUAGUCAUGUGGUUUGGGCAUUUCAUAGAUAGGCCUGUGGUUUGUGCAUUACUAAAACCCGGUAACUGAACGAUUAUCGGUAAUAUUGUCUGAAUCGAUUAAUAAAGAGAACAAAUCAGGGCCCAUUUCACUUGAUUUAAUUGGCUAAAUUUAAACCGUCUUUAAUCCGUGCAGGCAAAAGUUGACCACCUAGUGAUUGCCGCCUACUGAAGUACACCCUCCUCUCACUAAGGGGAAAAAACAAGGAGACGAGAAUUACCAUCGGUGAGAUCCUCUUGACUUUUGUUACACGCUCCAAGAGUAGCAAAACGUCCUCUUCGUUCGCAGGAUACUCAGCUAGUCUUUUCACCGAAGAUUAUCACUUUUUAGUUAGGAAAACAACAUGUAUCAAACAGACUAGAAGUGCUAGAAUAAGAAUAUAUUAAAAUCUCGGAAAUAUAAUAUUUCUGUAUUUUCAUACCAAUAAGCUUUUCUAUCUGUAUAUACCACUCCACCUCAUACUGAUUCACUAAUGAUAUAGCAACACUAGAACGUCCUGCUCGUGCAGUUCUUCCCACCCUAUGUAUAUAAUCCUGCAGGCCAUGCAUACAGUGAUAAGCUAAAAUCGCAUCAGAAAACAAAAUUAAGAUUAUUCAGAUUGAAAUGAUGAGUAUGAAGUCAAGUUUGAUUGAUCUUAUUGCAUAAACAAAG